AACCCAUACAACAGUAACCCAUACAACGGAAAUAAUCAUUUAAUUUCUAAUUAUAACGAAGUUAGUAGAAACAAUAAUUAUAUUAACCUUAAUACCACGAACAAUAACAGUAACACUAACAACAGUAACAUUAACAACAGCAACACUAACAACAGCAAAACUAACAACAACAACACUAACAACAGCAACACUAACAACAAUUAUUAUUUACAACCAAAUGUAAAUGUUUUUACCAAUAAAAAUAAUACAAUCAUGAGAAUACAAAAUAUCAAACCUGAUAGUAGUAAUAAUAAUAAUAACAUUAAUAGUAAUAACAUUAAUAAUGAUUAUGUAAAAGGAAGUAACACUUAUGUGAAUGCUGUCCGUAACAAUGUUAUCCCCAUGAAUACUAAACACACAAUUUAUAAUAAAAACAUAAAUAACGAGAUUAGUAAUAAUAUUAUUAGUAACAGUAUCAUUAACAAUAAUAAUGUGAAUACUAACAAUUUAAACAACAUGAACAACAUGAACAACAUGAACAACGUGAAUAACUUAAGCAGCAUAAAUAACUUUACCAACUUUAACAACACAAACAACCAUGUGACUAACAAUAAUAGUACUACUACAUGUGGAAUAAAUAAUGAUAUUAACCCAUCAAUGAAUAUAAUAAACAAAGCGAGUAAUAUACAUCUUCAAUUUCAACACAUAAACUCUAAUAGCAAUAAUAACAUUAACGGCAAUAAUAACAUUAACAGCAAUAAUAAUAUUAACAGCAAUAAUAAUAUUAACGGCAAUAAUAAUAUUGAGAAUCAGUAUAAUAAGAUAUAUGAUAUGACUGAUAAUAUAUACAAUAAUGAUAUUGACAAUGUUAAUAAUUUUAAUAACGGAAAUAAUAAUAAUAAUAACAAUAUGUAUUCUUUUAAUAAUUAUAAUUCAAAUAGAUAUAAUACAAUUGGAAUUAGUAAUAAUAAUAUGGUUAUUAUGAACAAUGUAGAUAAGAAUAUAAAAAAAAAUAAUAUGACAACUAAUUUAUUAAUUAGUUCGAAAGUAAAUAAAGAUAAUAUAAAUAAUGAAACGAUCGAGAAAUGUAGUAAUGUAAUACCAAAUAAUUAUUAUUAUCAUCAUCAACAACAUCGGCAUAUACCUAAUCACAUAAUUAAUAACAAUAACUUAACUAAUAAUAUAAAAAAUAAUAAUCAAUUAAAAAAAAUAGUACCAACAGAUUUUAAACAAAUGAUUAUUAAUAACAAUAGUAACAUAAUGAAUAGAAAUGACAAUAAUAUUAUGAACAACUUCAACACAAUUAAUAAUGACACAACUAUUGUACAUAAUAACCAAACAAUAAAUAACAAUAAAAUAAAUUCUUUAAAAAAUAUAAAUAUUACAACAUUAAAUAAUAACAUUAACAGUGGUAAUAUUAACAGUGGUAACAUUAACAGUGGUAAUAUUAACAGUGGUAACAUUAACAGUGGUAACAUUAGCAGUGGUAACAUUAGCAGUGGUAACAUUAGCAGUGGUAACAUUAACAGUAAUACCAUUAGUAGUAACACCAUUAACAGUAAUACAAUUAACAGUAAUACAAUUAACAGUUAUACAAUUAACAGUAUUAAUAAGGGUAUUAUGAGUGUUAAUAAUAAUAUUUCAAAUAAUAAUUCUGAUAUAAAAAAUAAUUUAAAUGUAAUGAAUAAUAACAUUUUAAUAAAGGGAAAUAAUAAAAAUACACAAAUAAAAAACACAAUAAAAAAAUAUGAUACUUUACCAAUACAAUUAUUAAAUAAUUAUAGUAAUACAAAUAAAUUAGGAUAUUCAGAAAAAAUGAAUACAUCCAAUAUAAUGUAUGAUAUUAAAGAUAUAGAUGAAGGUUAUAUGAAUAAUUCGUUAAAUGGUCAGUCUAAUUUUAUAGCUAAUGUACAUACUGACCUACCCAACAAUAUAAAUAAUAACAUAAACAACGGCAUAAAUAAUAACAUAAGCAACGGCAUAAAUAAUAACAUAAGCAACAAUAUAAACAAUAACAUAAGCAACAAUAUAAAUAAUAACAUAAGCAACAAUCUCGAAAAUAAUGGAGUAGUAAAUGACCAACAAAUGAUUAAUAAAAAUGUUAUGAACUAUAAUUUUAUAAACAAUAAUAUGAAUGAUAUUGAUAAUAUAACAAAUAAUUUGCAUAUUAUUAAUAAUAAUAUUGUAACCCAAAAAAUAAAUAAUAAUAUAUCAAUAAAUUUGUCAAACGACUUGAAUAAUAAUGUUAAUAGUAUAAAUAAUAUGAAAAACAUAAGCAACAUAAACAACAUUAACGAUAUGAACAACUUAAACAACAUGAACAACUUGAAUAACGUAAGCAGCAUAAAUAACUUAAAUAACACGAAUGACAUAAAUAACAUGAACAAUAAUGUUAGUACAUUAACAAAUACAAAUAAUUUAGUCGGUACAAAUAACUUAGUCGGUACAAAUAAUUUAUUCGGUACAAAUAACUUAGUCGGUACAAAUAACUUAGUCGGUACAAAUAACUUAGUCGGUACAAAUAACUUAGUCGGUACAAAUAACUUAGUCGGUACAAAUAACUUAGUCGGUACAAAU
Molecule: long non-coding RNA, 2556 nt
Organism: Piliocolobus tephrosceles (Ugandan red Colobus)
Lineage: Eukaryota; Metazoa; Chordata; Mammalia; Primates; Cercopithecidae
Source: Ensembl